GGAAAUAUAAAUAACUGCAACUUGAAUCUUUACUGAAGCUCAGUAUUUGACACAGAGUUCAAGGUCACUGCUGUAAUAAAUCAUAAUAAUCUGACAAGUAAGAUGACUUUAGUCUCAUGAACAACAUUAGCUAAUUGUUAUUUACUAGCUAAUCUUAAAAUGACUGUUCAGUACAGAAAUGAAGCCCAACAAUCAUGUUUUACAGUCCCGUGGUUUCAGCCUCUAACUUCCGCACUUCUCGUACUUAUAGGGCUUUGGAGCGUGAUGUCACGGGGUGGGCGUGGAAAGGAUUUUGGCCUGAUGCACCAUUUUCCGGGUCCAAACAAAGCGCAAGCGAAAAAGGAGCGAAGGCACACACAACAGCCAUGCAACAUGAGGCAGCUUGUGUAUCGGUUGUUACCAAACGAAGGCGUCUAGUCUGGAUAGCAGCUGUGAGACGAGCUGAUAUCCAGCUCUCUUCCAUCUCCAAAUAUCUGUUGGUGCUCCAGACAUUCCGCAAACCAGCCAAUGAAAUGGAUGAAACACAUCAUGACUGGGUUCCAGCGCUACAUAAGGGACCUGCUUCAAACAUACCACCAUGCC
Molecule: long non-coding RNA, 582 nt
Organism: Oreochromis aureus
Lineage: Eukaryota; Metazoa; Chordata; Actinopteri; Cichliformes; Cichlidae
Source: Ensembl